RNAcentral lists this long non-coding RNA (2618 nucleotides) under Homo sapiens (human). RNAcentral's name for it is "HSALNT0178895". The record is from RNAcentral. Lineage: Eukaryota; Metazoa; Chordata; Mammalia; Primates; Hominidae.
AUUCAAGUCUCAAUCAUAUCUCUUCUUUUGGGACAUAGGACAAGAUUUUCUCUGGUCUUCUGUUUCCCAUUUCUAAAAUAAUGAAAUAACGCCACUUCAGAAGUUCCUAACGAGGACAAAAUGAGAGGUCAUACGCCAAGUGUAUCAAGUACACAGAAAUUACCUCAUUUCUAAAGGGAAGAUUGGAUGAUACUCCACAGCCAAUAUUGACUUACUGAAGAUGUUAUCAAAUCCUCUGCCUUUCCUCAUAAUGAUAUGAGAAGAUAAAGACGUGCUCCGCUACAGAGUCUUCAAAGGAAGCAGAAAAAGUAUAAUACAUAAUUUUAACUUAAGAGGAACACUGCUGGACAUCAUGAGAAUUCCAUACAAUGAGUGUCACAUCCAUCAGAAAACCAAGGGUAUGAAGUCUAAAGAAAUAGAAGAUGGUGGUGAACAGGGAUCACCUCUCUGCCUGAUUUGUUUUCUGCCUAGGAGGUACCUUCAUAAUUGCAUGUGUGAAAUCCAGAGUCAAGAGAGAUAAAGGGUAUCCGCUAAAAGAGAUCUUACUAGGGAUCGGGACAUUCAUUACACGUUAAAAUUUCUAACAGUGUCUUUGCCAUAAAUUGGCAUCCCUUAUGUGGUAAGUUGGGGUUACAAGAAACUUGAACACGUACACUAAAUGUACUGCUGGGCUCAAGUUUUUUCCUACAUUUCUGCCUCUAGUUUGCUCAUUUCCCACCCAUCUUUGACUGAAUUGGCAGAGACCAUCUUAAAUAAAUAUCUGACCCUGUCUCUUUACUACUUCAAUGCAUUAGCUAGAGUCAUGCAGCUCUCAGGAUGAAUGUUUAAUCCUCAGCAAGUUACACAAAAUCUGCCAUGACCCAGCUUUUCUCUAACUGUCCAGACCAACAUCUUAUCAUAACUACUUUUAAUGUGCCAGACACUAUGCUAAGCUCUUUAUGUUGUUCUCUCCUCAACUACUACUUAUCCUUGAAGGUAACUUAGAUGUUACCCGAACUUCUCUCCUGCAACUUCACAUAUUCUGGAUCAGGUUUUCUUCCUCUAAGCUUUGAUAGGACCUUGUACUUUUAUCUAUGAUGGCAUUUCCACAUUGGCCAGAAAUCGUCUGUGUUCCAGUGUGGGAAACCUGCCUUUUUCCAGGAGAGUUAAUGUGACAUAAAGUAGGAAUAUUGACUCUGGAACUAGUCCAAUUAGGUUUAAAUCAUGACUCUACCUUUUGCCAUCUAAGAGGCCUUGUGCAUGUUGCUCAACUUUUCUGUGCCUCAGUGUCCUUACCUGUAAAAUAAGAAUAAUCAAAGUACCUACCGAAGUAGUGCAAGUACUACUUAGUUGUGUUAAUUUAUGUUAAAUAAUUACAAAGACAUCUGGGCACAUAGAAGUUUCUCAGUGUGAGUUGGGCUAACCAAUUUGACUGCCUAUGACAGGGAAGCCUGAUUAACCAGUAUAAAUUAAUUCAUUUACAUCUUAUUUUCUUCAUUGAUAACAAAAAAUGAGGGUAAUGGAUUCUAAAAGAGUUGUGAAUACUUCUGCUUAAGGAAUAAAUGGACUUCACGGUACCUCACCUAGACUUGUCACAGUACUUACUACUUUCUCCCUCAUAGUUUUCUAGUGUUCCUGUUUUGCAGCUUCCUAGAGCAAGUUCAGCUCACAUCUUCAUUUGCAUCUUACCUUUCUUAGUAACUAAUAGAUGCCUGCUGUAUAGCAAAAACUGAAAUAUUUGCUAAAUGAAAACACACAAACAAAUCUGCAAGGAAUCAAAAGCAGCAGCAAGUCUGAUACUAUACAAGGGUUAACUGGAUUUGUUCUCCUUCAAAUUGGGUUCUGUGACCAUGAACCACUGUUAAUAUCUUCAGAAAUAAGAAACCUUGUAAUGGUAAAAUAUGACUUCAUAAACUUCUAUUACAAUUCUAGAUACUAUAAAAAUCAAAAUAUAUUCCCACUCUCUAAAAUCUUAAUUUAACAGAACAGUUAAGCACUCAGCGAGUAUUUAUAGACUUCAUUGCCUUAUGGUUGAGAUUUGGUGGUAAAUAUUCAGAAUUAGACAUUUGCUCUCAAGGAAUUUACAAGUGUUUAAUGUCGUUCUUCUCCCUUAACCACACUUUAAAUAUAUUUUUAUGAUCCAUCAAAAGAGCCCUGUUCUAAUAUCAAAUGAUACAUUCCGCUUGUCUGUAUACAAUAUAUUCUGUGCAAUUCAUCUCACAGAGAAGAGCUUACUUUUUUAUUAAAUUUUGGCAGUUCACUAAAUAUCAGAAACCUUAUAUUUAAUCAGAUAUUUUAAAAGCAUGUACUGACAAGCUUGUACAUAAAAUUAAAAAAAUUAAACCAACUUAAAUGUCUAGUUAUAUCUAAUAAUUUCUUACUUCAUUUAGCAAACCAGAGAACUCAUUGCUUGAAAUAAAAGUUUAUUCCCCUUUUAAUUAUAAUGACCAUUGAUUUAUGUAAGUUAGUGUUUAACCCUGUGACACUCUUCUAGAGAUCACUUGGACUCCGCCAGAACCCUGUUAAGUCCCCAUUUCUAAGUGCAAGCCCUCUCUCUCACUCUCGACUAUGCUUUUCAGAUACUUGCUUUCCUUACUCUUCCACAAAUGACUUUGAAAAAUAAAAGCCAAAAUGGCAAU